This 361-nucleotide unclassified non-coding RNA is filed under the name soil metagenome. RNAcentral describes it as "partial contains 5.8S ribosomal RNA, internal transcribed spacer 2, and large subunit ribosomal RNA". The stretch from base 1 to 120 matches the Rfam family "5.8S ribosomal RNA", at positions 35 to 154 of the family's 154-position model. The record is from RNAcentral.
GAUGAAGAACGCAUCGAAAUGCGAUAAGUAAUGUGAAUUGCAGAAUUCAGUGAAUCAUCGAAUCUUUGAACGCACAUUGCGCCCGGUAGUAAUCUGCCGGGCAUGCCUGUCCGAGCGUCAUUUCAACCCUCGAACCACUAUUCGCGUAGCUGGAUCGGUGUUGGGGCACUACGGUGGAAUACCCGUAGGCCCCGAAAUGAAGUGGCGGUCCCGCCGCGGCGCCCCCAUGCGUAGUAACAUCUCGUCUCGCAUCGGGUCCCGGCGGAGGCCUGCCGUCAAGCCUAUUUUCUAAUUACAGAUGGUUUGACCUCGGAUCAGGUAGGGUUACCCGCUGAACUUAAGCAUAUCAAUAAGCGGAGGA